This 468-nucleotide ribosomal RNA is filed under the name uncultured bacterium. Its description in RNAcentral is "partial 16S ribosomal RNA". It matches the Rfam family "Bacterial small subunit ribosomal RNA", at positions 28 to 507 of the family's 1533-position model. The record is from RNAcentral.
GACGAACGCUGGCGGCGUGCUUAACACAUGCAAGUCGAACGGAAAGGCCCUGCUUUUGUGGGGUGCUCGAGUGGCGAACGGGUGAGUAACACGUGAGUAACCUGCCCUUGACUUUGGGAUAACUUCAGGAAACUGGGGCUAAUACCGGAUAGGAGCUCCUGCUGCAUGGUGGGGGUUGGAAAGUUUCGGCGGUUGGGGAUGGACUCGCGGCUUAUCAGCUUGUUGGUGGGGUAGUGGCUUACCAAGGCUUUGACGGGUAGCCGGCCUGAGAGGGUGACCGGCCACAUUGGGACUGAGAUACGGCCCAGACUCCUACGGGGGGCAAGAGGGGGGAAUAUUGCACAAUGGGCGGAAGCCUUAUGCCGCAACGCCGCGUGCGGGAUGACGGCCUUCGGGUUGUAAACCGCUUUCGCCUGUGACGAAGCGUGAGUGACGGUAAUGGGUAAAGAAGCACCGGCUAACUACGUG